This 74-nucleotide transfer RNA is filed under the name Chloromonas radiata. RNAcentral's name for it is "tRNA-Ile". It matches the Rfam family "tRNA". Rfam says of the family: Transfer RNA (tRNA) molecules are approximately 80 nucleotides in length. Their secondary structure includes four short double-helical elements and three loops (D, anti-codon, and T loops). Further hydrogen bonds mediate the characteristic L-shaped molecular structure. tRNAs have two regions of fundamental functional importance: the anti-codon, which is responsible for specific mRNA codon recognition, and the 3' end, to which the tRNAs corresponding amino acid is attached (by aminoacyl-tRNA synthetases). tRNAs cope with the degeneracy of the genetic code in two manners: having more than one tRNA (with a specific anti-codon) for a particular amino acid; and 'wobble' base-pairing, i.e. permitting non-standard base-pairing at the 3rd anti-codon position. Lineage: Eukaryota; Viridiplantae; Chlorophyta; Chlorophyceae; Chlamydomonadales; Chlamydomonadaceae. The record is from RNAcentral.
GGACUCUUAGCUCAGUUGGUUAGAGCGCGCCCUUGAUAAGGGCGAGGUCGCAGGUUCAAGUCCCGCAUGGUCCA